AGACUUUCGCUGUAUGCAUAUUUAAUGUAUGACGUCACCCACACAGAGUGAGAGUUCGAGGUUUUCUUUGAAAGUUUGAUGGAGAAUGUACAGAGACUUGUCGCAGUUAAUGCAGUACCAAAUGCUUGCUUUCUUGGAGUAUGUGCUUGAAACAAGAAUGUCCUGGAGAAAACAGACCACCACAAAAGAAGGGAUUGAAAAGGAGGGCUUCCUGUUGAGAGAUCAUGGGGUGCCUUGAGGUUCCAGUCUUGAUGUUCUGCCCCUUACCUCAAAGCGAUGGCCUCUUGUGCCUGACAUAUUAGGAGCAAAGCACAAUGGACUGCUGGCUUAUUGGAAUUGGUUACAAAGAUGCAAGUGGACUUGUCUGUAGUAGUUGCUGAAGAGGAGCAGUCAGCAUAAGGAGUGUGUGCCUCCAAAACAAUGUGGGAACUUCUCCCAAGUUCAUCUCAAAUCACUAGGCUCUUCAGGAAUCAAGAUGUAACAAUGGAGGUUGAGAAGGAGUUUGCGACCCUCCUGAUUUGGACUACUCGCUAUAUACAUUCUCA
Strongylocentrotus purpuratus (purple sea urchin) is the source of this 545-nucleotide long non-coding RNA. RefSeq lists it as uncharacterized. NCBI's taxonomy places the organism in Eukaryota, Metazoa, Echinodermata, Echinoidea, Camarodonta, Strongylocentrotidae. The record is from RefSeq and is a predicted model, not a curated record. The transcript has 4 exons.